GGUAUUUUGACCGUGCAAAGGUAGCAUAAUCAUUAGUUUUUUAAUUGAAAGCUGGUAUGAAAGGUUGGAUGAGAAAUAAGCUGUCUCUAUUUAAUUUUAUUAGAAUUUUAUUUUUAAGUUAAAAAGCUUAAAUUUAAAUAGAAGACGAGAAGACCCUAUAGAGUUUUAUUUAUUUUUUUAAUAAAAUUAAUAGUAUUAAUUAUUUUUAUUAAAGGAAUAAAUUUGGUUGGGGUGAUUGAAAAAUUUAAUAAACUUUUUUUAUAGGUAUACAUUUAUAUAUGAUUAAUUGAUCCUUAAUUUAAGAUUAAAAGAUAAAAUUACCUUAGGGAUAACAGCGUAAUUUUUUUUGAGAGUUCUAAUCGAAAGAAAAGAUUGCGACCUCGAUGUUGGAUUAAAAUAAAAUUUUGGUGUAGAAGCUAAAG
RNAcentral lists this ribosomal RNA (422 nucleotides) under Laparocerus amplificatus. RNAcentral describes it as "partial 16S ribosomal RNA". The record is from RNAcentral. Lineage: Eukaryota; Metazoa; Arthropoda; Insecta; Coleoptera; Curculionidae.